UGAGGAAUAUUGGUCAAUGGGCGCAAGCCUGAACCAGCCAUCCCGCGUGCAGGAAGACGGCGCUAUGCGUUGUAAACUGCUUUUCCAGGGAGAGAAACUUGCGCACGUGUUGCGCAAUUGACGGUACCCUGGGAAUAAGCAUCGGCUAACUCCGUGCCAGCAGCCGCGGUAAUACGGAGGAUGCGAGCGUUAUCCGGAUUCAUUGGGUUUAAAGGGUGCGUAGGCGGACUAUUAAGUCAGUGGUGAAAUCCUGCAGCUUAACUGCAGAACUGCCAUUGAUACUGAUAGACUUGAGUUUGGUUAAGGUAGGCGGAAUGUGUAAUGUAGCGGUGAAAUGCUUAGAUAUUACACAGAACACCAAUUGCGUAGGCAGCUUACUGAGCCGACACUGACGCUGAGGCACGAAAGCGUGGGGAUCGAACAGGAU
This 427-nucleotide ribosomal RNA is filed under the name uncultured bacterium. RNAcentral's name for it is "bacterial SSU rRNA". It matches the Rfam family "Bacterial small subunit ribosomal RNA", at positions 355 to 778 of the family's 1533-position model. The record is from RNAcentral.